Schistocerca piceifrons (Central American locust) is the source of this 483-nucleotide long non-coding RNA. RefSeq lists it as uncharacterized. The record is from RefSeq and is a predicted model, not a curated record. The transcript has 3 exons. NCBI's taxonomy places the organism in Eukaryota, Metazoa, Arthropoda, Insecta, Orthoptera, Acrididae.
AGUGUGGCAGAGAGGAAAGGGAACUCGAUCGGUGCGGUGUCGGAGCUCCUCGCGUGGGGCACAGGUGCCGAUGUUAAUGCUGUGUACCGGAGGCGGUAAAGUAGAGGCACACGGUGUAAUACUGGCUGCCAGAAACCCUGUUGUCACAGCUGUGCUGGUGUGGCAUGACACAGCAGAAACUGCCAGUGACCGUGUCCACAUACUGGACAUAGAGACCACCGCUGUGAACCACCUUGUCCAUUACGUGUCUGUGGUACAACUAUUGGCAGCUGCAGACAAAUAUGACCUCCGUCUCCUUAAGGAGCCUCGUAAAGACAGUACUUGGUUGUAAUGGCCAACAAACUAGCAAAUGUCUGAAUGAUGGAUUUAAUGAAAGCAGAUGACUCUCUGGAUGCGUGGAGGAUGAAAGACUGGUGAGAAGGGGUGGCUAGCUGCCCACAGGUUGUGGCAGAGGUGUUACAGUUAGUGGAAACAAAAAUCAGG